AGACCCCUGGAAGACUACCAGGUUGAUAGGCGGCCGGUGUAAGUGCAGCAAUGUAUUUAGCCUAGCCGUACUAAUGGUCGAAUGUAGUUUGUUU
RNAcentral lists this ribosomal RNA (94 nucleotides) under Patescibacteria group bacterium. Its description in RNAcentral is "partial 23S ribosomal RNA". It matches the Rfam family "Bacterial large subunit ribosomal RNA", at positions 2831 to 2925 of the family's 2925-position model. The record is from RNAcentral.